Molecule: ribosomal RNA, 253 nt
Filed under: uncultured bacterium
Lineage: Bacteria
Description: partial 16S ribosomal RNA
Rfam family: Bacterial small subunit ribosomal RNA
Source: RNAcentral
UACGUAGGUGGCAAGCGUUGUCCGGAUUUACUGGGUGUAAAGGGCGUGUAGCCGGGCUGACAAGUCAGAUGUGAAAUCCGGGGGCUCAACCCCCGAACUGCAUUUGGAACUGUUGGUCUUGAGUACUGGAGAGGCAGACGGAAUUCCUAGUGUAGCGGUGAAAUGCGUAGAUAUUAGGAGGAACACCAGUGGCGAAGGCGGUCUGCUGGACAGCAACUGACGGUGAGGCGCGAAAGCGUGGGGAGCAAACAGG